RNA transcript from Panicum virgatum (switchgrass), 3128 nucleotides. RefSeq lists it as uncharacterized. The transcript is spliced from 10 exons. NCBI's taxonomy places the organism in Eukaryota, Viridiplantae, Streptophyta, Magnoliopsida, Poales, Poaceae. The record is from RefSeq and is a predicted model, not a curated record.
GCGGUGACGACCGCACGGUGAGCCGUUAUUUUAGUUGGGCGCCGCCGAGGCCUCCGCGUCGCCACUGCAGCCUGGCGCGGCCCGCGGAUCGGCUGCCGCCCGCGGGGUCUCUCCGAGUCUUCCGUCUGUCUCUCCGUCCCGAUCCAAAUCCUCCCCAAUUCCUCAUCUCAGAUCCACUCAAGUCUCCAACCCUAGCAGCUGGCGGCGCCGGCGGCCGGGCCAUCCGACAAUCGGCCGAGAGGCAGGCGAUGGGCGUGCCGGCAGCACCUUGAGCUUGGAGGCCAGUGUGGGCGCUCGGCUUGGCGCGUGGGCGGGCGGGCAGCGAUGGCUUCCUCCGCCGCAGUGGCGCGGCUGCGGGAGCUGACGACGGCCCCCGCGCGGUUGCGCUCGCCAAGUGCUGCGCGGAGCUCUUCCGCCCCGGCGGCAGCGACGCCGAGGCCGCGCACGAGGUGCUCGAGGCGCUUUGCGCUGCAGGCGGAGGGGACGCGAUGCGGAGCCACGCCGACGGCCUCGCACCGCUGGUCGUCGCGCGGCUUGGGGACGGGGAUGCGGGCUGUGCGGGAGGCCGCUAGGAGGUUCCUCGUGGUGCUCAUGGAGGCUGCUCAUGGAGAUGUUUCAAGCAACAUCUACAGCUACCAAGCCGUUCCACCACUUCACCACUGCCACCUCCCUACUACCUCUAUGUGUUACAGGUGACUAAAGUUCCCCUAUUUUAUUUUCAGCUAUGAUUAUUAGGUUAUGGUGCUUCUACAGGAAAAUACAGUAAAGGUUGGCUAGGUGAGUCUUGUGGCGCUUGGAGUUGGAUUACAGAUGAACUUUCUGGAAGAUGGUAACAGUGUGGCUUAAGCAUUAUUAUUCUGAACUAAUUGGUUUGGGAUUUGACCGGGUGAGCUUACGACCGUGUGCACAGAUAAGUCUCUCCCUUUUCUAUUCACCCCUUUUUCAUCUAUGUUAGAGUGCAUAUGUAUGAGUGUGAUUAAAUGGAAAAUGUAAGCACAUAUUUGGAAGUUACAGAUGAAGACUUUUUGGAAGAUGGUAAUAUGCUAUACCCCUUCUUCUUUCUCUGUUUGGCUAUCUAUGAAGCUAAACUGAUGAUAAAAGGAUGGUGUGCUUUAUCCAUUUCACUUCUGCAGGUACCAGUGUGGCUUAAGCAUUAUUAUUCUGAACUAAUUGGUUUGGGAUUUGACCGGGUGAGCUUACGACCGUGGGCACAGAUAAGUCUCCCUUUUCUAUUCACCCCUUUUUCAUCUAUGUUGGAGUGCAUAUGUAUGCGUGUGAUUAAAUGUGUAGGCACAUAUUUCGAAGUUAGAACUGUGAUGCUGAACCUAUUUGCAAGCUUGCAGCACUUUUUUAGUGGGUACAAGUUAAACAGGUUUAAGAAGCUUAUUGUAGGAAACUAAAUUCUGCAUGUUUUUUUCACAUAAUUUUAACUCUGUGCAGCACAAGAGCAGCCUCUGCUAUCUUUUUAUAUCUUUGUUCUGCAUAGCAGCCUGUUGAUUAUUUACUUGAAUGAAUAUUCACCUACUCAUUGCAUGACAGGUAACCUGAAUGCAUCAGCUAAUAUUUAAAUCACUCUCUUCUCUAUCUUGCCUUACUCUUGCCCCGCGAGCCCUGCUCCUUGCGCAGGAGGACCGCCGCCGCCCGCUGCUCGCCCUCGGAUCCGCCGCCGAGAGGGUGCAGGGGAGUGGGGGCCGCCGGAAGGGAGCAGGGAGGAGGCAUUGGAAAAAAAAAGAAAAUGGAAGGGAGGAAGGGGGUCGUCGGUGGCAGCAGAGGGUAAAAAAAAACCUGACACGUGGGUCCCAUAGCUAGUACCUGGUAUAGAGAAGGAGAAAUAUAGUAUGACGAGUGCGGGAUAACCUGCGAACAAAAAAAUUAUGCCGAGAAAACAAAUUGUACAUACUAAAACAUCGCAUGCAUUUAAAAAAACUUAACAUAAUCUACUCUGCGUUAAUUACAUACUGGUCCAAACUUAACAUACCGGAGUUCGGCGCUGCCUGCCAAAGAGUACCAGCUACGAACUAAGCAGGGACCGCCUCGCGCGAUCAGAGAGGAGAUGGGAAACCGCGGCUGCCUGCGGAGCUGUGCGAUGCCGCCGUCAUUGCUGCCUGUGCACGAGGGCCGGCGCUCCGCCGCCCCCAACUGCGUGCACGGGCCUGCGUACUGCUGCCUUGCAUAUGGUUGUGCCAUGCCUGGACGAAGCAGCAGGGAGCAGCGGCCAUACCUGGCCGAAGCAGCAGGGAGCAGCGGCCAUACCUGGCCGAAGCAGCAGGGAGCAGCGGCCAUACCUGGCCCAUGGGAGUGACGGGGCUACUCCAUGCCCCUUGAUCCCCAACUUCACAGUCUUGACUAAGAUUUGUCCAUUUUCUGAUUCUAACUGCAGCUCACAUCAAGCCAUAAUUGCUGCCUGCAAGGUGCUCGACAAAAUGCUCCAGUGACGACAUGAUGUUUGGAGCUCUGUUGGCAAAGGAGAAAUUCUUUGGCAAAGUUGAAGAUGUGGCCUACGAACUCGGAUCCCAGUACCAGUACAACAGACGCAUAAUGUCCCAAUAAUGGUCCUCUUCUCUGCUAGAUUGGAACAUCAAACCUUGCAGUAUCAUGUAUUCUCCAAGGGCUCAAAGGAUGACCGAUUUUCAGUCAAUGAAAAAUCUUUCAAAGGCAAUUGACUUUGCUAAGAGGAAUUUGCUUGCUGGAAAUAAAAUUAUACUUGUAUGCUGUCAAAAUGGAGAAGAUAUAAUUAUUUGUGUUUCCUUGGCAAUAGUGACAUUGUUGUUCGAUGAUAACGGAUGCUUUGACUGUGUCCAUUCUUUCAUGAAAAGAGACAUCGCAAGAUUGGAGAUGAUGAAGAGGCUGGUAUAUAUUCAUUUGCAAAUUUGUAGUAAAUGCACAGCCAUCUAGAGGAAACUUGAAACAGGUUUAUGAUUCAUUGCUUGUAUGCAUGGAGUUUCUAUUGGUUUGAACUUUAGAGUUGGUCUUUCACGCCAUUUUAUGAGAUAUGGUUAUACUGAGAAACAAUAGUUCGAUCAUGAAAGUUCCACUUUGUAAGGUCGAUUUCACAUUUGAAUUUGAUGGGUGAUGGAUACAAGUAGAAUAUGCCAUAAAAAUAGCAAUGAUCAAUCAUAUGUAGAUUA